RNAcentral lists this long non-coding RNA (512 nucleotides) under Setaria italica (foxtail millet). Its description in RNAcentral is "long non-coding RNA (SITA_LNC004732)". The record is from RNAcentral. Lineage: Eukaryota; Viridiplantae; Streptophyta; Magnoliopsida; Poales; Poaceae.
GCGUUGUACUGGUAGUGGAGCAAGCCCUGGGGGAACACCAUGAUGUCGCCCGCGUUCAGCGUCUUGGUGUAGGGGGUGUUCGACCCGGAGCUGAUGAAGCCGGCGGCGACGGUGCCCUGGGUGACGAAGAGGAGCUCGGAGCCGGCCGGGUGGGUGUGCAGCGGCACGACGCCGCCCACCUCCAUGUCGAGCCUGGCCGCGGAGAUGCCGAGGCCGUUGACGCCCGGGAACUGGCCAACGAAGGCCGGGGUCACGGCGGCCUUGAUGAGGGGGUUGAUUUUGCCCAUGCCAGCCAGGCCGUGGUAGUAGAAGUCAUUAGCGCUGACGCUAGACUUGCACGGGUAGCCGGCCGGCGUGUCGCUGCAGGACAGGUCAGCGACGCAGAAGUCCUGCGUCAGCGCGAGGGAGGCGAAGGGCAGGAGGAGGAAGGAGAGGAGCACGGGGAGCAGCACCAUCUUGGCCAUGGCAACGGCUUACUACACAGCUAGCUCGAGAUAGUUUGAUGUGUGGAU